Molecule: long non-coding RNA, 2061 nt
Organism: Saccostrea cuccullata (small rock oyster)
Lineage: Eukaryota; Metazoa; Mollusca; Bivalvia; Ostreida; Ostreidae
Exons: 5
Source: RefSeq, a predicted model, not a curated record
GUGAAAAAGGCUUGUAAUCCACAGUGAUCAGCUAAGAUGUUGUUUCACUGGAUUAUUUAAUUGGGCAUAUAAUUGGAUAAUUCUGGAUCAGCUGAGAUGUUAUUUCACUGGAUUAUUUAAUGGAUAGACUUAUUGGGCAUAUAUUUGGAUAUCUCUGUCCUCAACCUGGAAGAUAUGUUUUGUUCCUAACCAUCUAUAAUCCAUUCUCUAUGAAGUUCAGACUGUCUGCUCUUCCUUUGGAAAUACACAGUUAGUCAACCAACAUAGAAACACACAAACUUGAAGGAUUCUCUAGUGAGGGCUUAUGGAAAUGAUCUAUGUCUACUCUCAGAAUGGUGAAAGACUAUCAGAUUAUGCAAAGACUAACAGAAUAUCCUCUCUUGGAACACUGAAACAAGAAAAUCAAACAGGAGAUGGAUGGAGGAUUUAAGAAGCACAUAGAUAAAUAUGAUUUCCAACGAAUUUAACCAGUAUUAUCAUAGACUGUGGUUUACAGGAUGACAAAGUAACAGGAUUGUAUCUUUUUACUGUCAGACACUGACUAUGGAUAAGAUGUACCCAUUUAUUAAACUGAGAUCUAGUCAAAUCAAGUACAAUUGUAUUGAAAAAAUGAUUUUCUGAUAGCAUGAACUCUUUAAAAAUUAAUUCUCACAGACCUCAAAGUAUCUGAAUGUGACUUUUAUUUUUACCAAUUUCUAUUGAAGACUGUUGUUAUGUAUGAGAAGUAUACAUUUAAACCUUUUAUUUUUCAUCUUAUUUCUAUAACCCCCUAGAAAUUACACAGAUAUUCAGAUGCUGGAUUUAAUAUUAUUAUUUAACUUUCCUGGAAUGGUAAAUAUAUUUUGUUUGUGUAUGUAUCAUGUUUAAUUUUGAAUUUAAAAUUGGUCUCAAUAAGACCCCCAAUAAAGAUGCAAGUGUCCCAUAAUCUGUGGUUUAAUAAUAUCUUGAAUAUCUUUAUCAUAUCAUAUUCAUCAUACUAAUUACAUAUAGAAUGUUUGUAGGAAUACACUUUGUUGUUUAGGACACUUUGUCAAGGUCAAAGCAUAAGAUUAUUGAGAUGACUUCUUUGACAAUAAUUUGUAACUUACAAACUUCACAUCAUAAGUACACAGAUGAAGAAUCAAUAAGAUAUUUCUAUAGAUUUUUUGGAUCAUUUACUCCUGGGUAAAAGUUAGUUACUAACUGAGAUUACUGAUUUGAAUCCUGUAAUGCAAUAACUUAGACAUUGUGUGAUAACUUAUAGACUUUAUAAAAAUUAGGUGCAAAUUCUUAGGAAAGGAUUGAAAUGUUAAUCAAAUGUACAAUGUUCAAGGGUGUUUAUAUGACUAUUACUAUGUAAUACCUUAGAAUUCUGUAAAAAAUUUAUUAUCACUGCGUAGAUAAAAAUGGUGCAUUACAGCAACUCUGGUGAUUUACAUACCUUCAGUCAUAAAUACAUGUAGAUAGGUAUUUGGAAGACUCCUUUAGAUUUUGAAAUUUUUUAAUUCAAAAGUAUAGAAUUUAAGUUUGAAAGAUUUAAAAUGGCAGCAUAUCAUUUGCUUGUGAAUUUAAAAAAUAAAUCCAAACAUAUACAUCUUUGGAUGAUAAUUGUAGCAUUUUAUCAAUUCCUGGACUUCGGUCUUGAUAUCAUCCUUUAAUGUUCUUUUUAAUGACUGUCUUUUAGUUUUAGUUGAAUUAGUUUCUUUUCUACAUGUGAAAAUUACAUCAUCCAAAGAAAUUCUUCAUCUGCAUGUUAUAUGAAGAAGACAAUUUUCAUCACAGUGAAAGAGAUUGUUUUGUUAAACAUAUUGCAUUGAUGCACAAAUAUACUUUUAGAUUUUUAAUAGCUAGGGUUCAUAUUUCUUAAUAUGGAAUGCUAAGUACUGUUGAUUUCAAUUUUUUGUGAACAAAGACAUACUAGUAGAAAAAAAUGUACAUGAUGUGUAAGAAAAGCAUGUGUAAACCUUAUGACUUUAUAUUUGCUGAUUAAUUCAUUUAUGAGUUUCAUCUUUGUUUCAAUGUAAACAUUUCUAAGUAGGGCACACAUCAGAAACUCUUUAAAUUCUGACUAUCAGGGUUUAA